UGGCUGGAGACCAGGGCAUGGGGAGUGCCCCUGAGCAGCCGUGGCUGGGGUGGGAGCAGGGCCAUGAUGGCUCUGGAGAAAAGUGGGGCAGGCAGCCGCCUCCCUGGGACUGAGGGGCUGCAAGGAGAAGUCGCACCCCUAUGCACGGUACCCAGUCCCCAUGGCCACCCUGGCAUUUCAGGCACCUGCUGUGUGCCAGGUCAGGCCCCAGACUGGCAUCCUCUCUCUCUGUGUGUACCUGCACCUGGCAGGAAGCAGCAGCGCCAUCUGGUUGCCCAGCAGCCUUGUCCUGCUCCCAGCUGCCUGUGGCCCCACCAGACUCAGCCCCCCAGCAGGGAGGCCUUCGGCUGCAGGGCAGGGGCUGGGCGGACGAAGCCUGUGGCUGGGGGCACUCAGGAGCCCUGGCUUCGCCUCUGCUCUCGGCACGCAUGUGGACAGCUCACCCUCCAGCAGGGAUCCGGACCAAAGUCCUUGGCCCACCAGGUUCUGAGUCCUGACAGGGCUGUUGACAGCUUCCCUCUCCACCCUGGCACCUUCUGGCAGGAGCCUCCGGGCCCUCACCCUGGGGCAGCGACUCCUGCACCACCAGCCACGCCCAGCCACAAGAAAGUGCAGAACAGCUCAGGCCCUUCUCACAACUUCCUGGAGCUCAGGGACAGGCAGCGUCUGGGUCUGGGUCCAAGGUGGUGAAUGUCACCACCACACCUGCCCUCUCUCGGCCUCGGGGCGCAAACUCAGGGCCUGUGUCCACUCUGUUCAGUUUUUUGGGCAUAGUUGGUGUUAGGUGACAGACUCGGGAUUGGCCUUGGACACUCAGCCCCCUCUUUCUGGAGUAAAGACUCAUGACCCACGUCUGAGUCUGACCGUGAGGCAGCCCUCAGGGAUGCACAGGACUCCCUGUCCGCACCACCAGGCAGCCGAGGCAGGUUUGGACCAGCUUCUCACACUCACACCUUCCUAGGGUUGCCCCAGGCCCUGCCCUGCUGACCCUGCAGCUAUGACCUCUGACCUGUGGAGGGUGGGAGGGACGAGCAGGAGGGAGAGUGGGAAGGAGGAAUGGAAAACAGAGACCCGGAAGGGAGGCUGCAGCCCCGACACGAACAGGAGCCACCACCAGGGGGGGCUGUGCAGGGCUCCCGGAGGACAGGACCUUCCAGGGCCUCCCUGCCCCGAACCCAUAGGUGCCAGGCUUCUCAGUGCUCACAACCCCUGUGCCGGGCUCAUACCUGCCGCGCCAGCCCCUCUUUAGCAGAGCACAAGUCUGGCAGCAGGAGGGCACCAGGCAGGGGCCCCGCGUUCCCGCCUCUGUACAGCAGGGCCACUGUGGGGUGACGUGAGAACACUGACCCGGGGAAUGGGCUCUGCCACGCCUGCCCGGGAACCUGGGCUGUGAGUCCUGCUCGCUGCACCCUCUAGCCUGACAUUGAAGUGACCUCGCCAGCGGGGCCCUCCAUGGCACUGGGCACUCAGGGAGAGCACGUGGCAUUGCAGAAGGUCCCACCCCCAAAUGCAAACCUGGGAAAGCCAGGCUGAGCCGGGGAUCAGGCCACCUCCUCAGGGACCCACUGCUGCCUCUUCCAGGAGCCCAGGAGACCCAGUGGGGUCUCCCGCCCCCGACUUCAACUCCCUCCCGGCAGGACACACCCCAUAGGCCACAGCCCAGCUCACAGAGGCCUCUCCAUCCUGGGAAAGGGAGGGAGAGGAGGCUCAGGCCAGGGACCCGCCCAGCUCUGGCCGGCAGCCGCCCAUCAGCCUUUGUUCCUGAACCACUGUGUGGGCCCCAGCCCAUCCGCAGCCUGCUGGAGGGAGCCCGUGGGAAAUGGACUGUUCUUGCCACCCCUGUCCAUGGCAAGGGAGGGGCUCAGCAUGGCCCUUUCCCACCCAGA
RNAcentral lists this non-coding RNA (1886 nucleotides) under Pongo abelii (Sumatran orangutan). The record is from RNAcentral. Lineage: Eukaryota; Metazoa; Chordata; Mammalia; Primates; Hominidae.